CACUUGGGCUUUUGGAGCAUUGAGAGGGGCGUAGCUGUGGAAUCUUUCUGGAAGAGAGCUUCGUCGAACUCUGCGGUCCGGACUCCUCUGCUUAUGAGCUCGGGGAGGAGUCCGGACAUGCCUGUAUCCAGGAGGAGUUCGAGAAUGUGGCCGAGCUUCAAUUGGCCCUUUUUUAGCUGCGAGCUUGCUGGAGCCACCCGCC
RNAcentral lists this long non-coding RNA (202 nucleotides) under Elaeis guineensis (African oil palm). Its description in RNAcentral is "long non-coding RNA (EGUI_LNC035319)". The record is from RNAcentral. Lineage: Eukaryota; Viridiplantae; Streptophyta; Magnoliopsida; Arecales; Arecaceae.